Molecule: long non-coding RNA, 321 nt
Filed under: Malus domestica (apple)
Lineage: Eukaryota; Viridiplantae; Streptophyta; Magnoliopsida; Rosales; Rosaceae
Description: long non-coding RNA (MDOM_LNC003422)
Source: RNAcentral
CCGAUGAUGUUGGGGUGGAACCGUGAAAGUGAAGGGGGAAAUAAGAGGCGGUCGGAUUCAGAUGUAAACUCAUGUAAAACCACCCUUCUCUUAAACCCCUGAAGACUAACUCUUACAUCAUUUAUAGUGCAAAAUUUGAUGAAUUAAAUAACGAUUGUCAAAAUUUUAGAAUUUUAAAGAAUCAAAACAUACCUAAGAUUUGGUGAUUGGAUGACUGUGAGGGCCUCAAAAAAUACAGGGAAGCUAGCGGAUUUGCCGGAAAACCUCGCCGGAAUCUAGGUAACGGAUUGAGCUUCAAUCUUUUUCAAACCUUCACCAAAU